RNAcentral lists this ribosomal RNA (472 nucleotides) under uncultured bacterium. RNAcentral describes it as "bacterial SSU rRNA". It matches the Rfam family "Bacterial small subunit ribosomal RNA", at positions 355 to 825 of the family's 1533-position model. The record is from RNAcentral.
UGGGGAAUAUUGGACAAUGGGGGCAACCCUGAUCCAGCAAUGCCGCGUGUGUGAAGAAGGCCUGAGGGUUGUAAAGCACUUUCAGUGGGGAGGAGGAUUAAUAGGUUAAGAGCUAGUUAAUUGGACGUUACCCACAGAAGAAGCACCGGCUAACUCCGUGCCAGCAGCCGCGGUAAUACGGAGGGUGCAAGCGUUAAUCGGAAUUACUGGGCGUAAAGCGUGCGUAGGUGGUACGAUAAGUUAUCUGUGAAAUCCCUGGGCUCAACCUGGGCAGGUCAGAUAAGACUGUUGAACUAGAGUAUAGGAGAGGGUAGUGGAAUUUCCGGUGUAGCGGUGAAAUGCGUAGAGAUCGGAAGGAACACCAGUGGCGAAGGCGACUACCUGGCCAGAUACUGACACUGAGGCACGAAAGCGUGGGGAGCAAACAGGAUUAGAUACCCAAGUAGUCCCUGAGCGGGCUGGCAAGGCGCAU